Molecule: long non-coding RNA, 660 nt
Organism: Clarias gariepinus (North African catfish)
Lineage: Eukaryota; Metazoa; Chordata; Actinopteri; Siluriformes; Clariidae
Exons: 4
Source: RefSeq, a predicted model, not a curated record
UCUAAAAAGAGUGCAGUUACUAUGAUUGCAUAUAUUAAAGUUGCUGCAUUUAAAAUGCUUUUAGCUGGACUCUGAGUAGUGCAGUGGUAAAGUGCUCCCUAGUUCGGUUCCCUGGUGAUGCUGUAACCUCUCGCAGCCAGAGAUCCAGACAGAGCUGAUCGGCCGAGCUCGCUCAGCGGGGAGGGAUGAGAGACCUGCAAGAGUUUGAAGGAGGAUGCAUGUUUUUCAGUGAGCACCUUGAAGUUUCAUCCAUCUCCCUCCCAAUGCCCUCUUCAACUGCUGUCUUGAACCUCAUCAAGAUGGGAGAUCAUUGCUGGUGGUGGAUGUAGGAGUAUCGGGCCAGAGGCAUCAGGAGCAGAGUGGCAGGCUACGGCUGUCUCGAAGGUGCAUCGAUCGAACAGGUGGACAUACCUGUAGGUGUCCCAUUUGUGGUCAAGUGUAUGCUGAUGUAGCCCAGCACCCAAGGUCCACAGAAAAGGUUACUGAACCAACUGAAUCUGUUCUUUUACCCAAACUUUCUCACUGACACUUUACUUUGAGACAGCAGUAGCCUGCUUCUGAUGCCUCUGGCCUGAUGCUCCUACAUCCACCACCUGUCCAGUCCAAUUCUGCAAGGCUAAAUACAUUAGACUAGACAAGCACCUGCAAAAAAUCCACAAA